RNAcentral lists this ribosomal RNA (362 nucleotides) under Caldicochlea globosa. RNAcentral describes it as "partial 16S ribosomal RNA". It matches the Rfam family "Bacterial large subunit ribosomal RNA", at positions 1952 to 2528 of the family's 2925-position model. Lineage: Eukaryota; Metazoa; Mollusca; Gastropoda; Littorinimorpha; Tateidae. The record is from RNAcentral.
AAAGGUAGCAUAAUCAUUUGCCUUAUAAUUGAAGGCUAGUAUGAAUGGUUUGAUGAAAACAAAGCUGUCUCCUUUUAAUUUUAUAAAACUUGAUUUUUGGGUGAAGAAGCCCAAAUAAAAUUGAUAGACGAGAAGACCCUAUCGAGCUUAAAAAAAUUUUAUUAAAACAAAGUUGCUUAUAAAAGACCAGUUAUAAUAAAAAAUUUUAGUUGGGGCGACUAAGGAACAAUAAAGCUUCCAUUUUNAAUAUUAUAGCAUAUUAGCUAUGAUCCAAAAUCUUUGAUUAAAAGAAUUAGUUACCGUAGGGAUAACAGCAUAAUCUUUUUUGAGAGUUCUUAUNGAAAAAAAGGUUUGUGACCUCG